UACGUAGGGUGCAAGCGUUGUCCGGAAUUAUUGGGCGUAAAGAGCUCGUAGGCGGUCUGUCACGUCGGAUGUGAAAACUCGGGGCUCAACCCCGAGCCUGCAUACGAUACGGGCAGACUUGAGUUCGGCAGGGGAGACUGGAAUUCCUGGUGUAGCGGUGAAAUGCGCAGAUAUCAGGAGGAACACCGGUGGCGAAGGCGGGUCUCUGGGCAGUAACUGACGCUGAGGAGCGAAAGCGUGGGGAGCGAACAGG
RNAcentral lists this ribosomal RNA (253 nucleotides) under uncultured bacterium. RNAcentral describes it as "partial 16S ribosomal RNA". It matches the Rfam family "Bacterial small subunit ribosomal RNA", at positions 524 to 776 of the family's 1533-position model. The record is from RNAcentral.